RNAcentral lists this ribosomal RNA (242 nucleotides) under uncultured bacterium. Its description in RNAcentral is "partial 16S ribosomal RNA". It matches the Rfam family "Bacterial small subunit ribosomal RNA", at positions 95 to 334 of the family's 1533-position model. The record is from RNAcentral.
CCGGCGCACGGGUGAGUAACACGUAUGCAAUCCACCUGUAACAGGGGGAUAACCCGGAGAAAUCCGGACUAAUACCCCAUAAUAUGGGCGCUCCGCAUGGAGAGUUCAUUAAAGAGAGCAAUUUUGGUUACAGACGAGCAUGCGCUCCAUUAGCCAGUUGGCGGGGUAACGGCCCACCAAGGCGACGAUGGAUAGGGGUUCUGAGAGGAAGGCCCCCACAUUGGAACUGAGACACGGUCCAA